UCUCUUCGGAGUGAUUUUAAGUGGAUUAGUGGCGGACGGGUGAGUAACGCGUGAGUAACCUGCCUUAGAGAUGGGGAUAGCCUCUGGAAACGGAGAAUAAUACCCAAUGAUACCAAGUUAUCGCAUGGUAGCCUGGUCAAAGAUUUAUCGCUCUAAGAUGGACUUGCGUCUGAUUAGCUAGUUGGUGAGAUAAUGGCUCACCAAGGCAACGAUCAGUAGCCGGCUUGAGAGAGUGUACGGCCACAUUGGGACUGAGACACGGCCCAGACUCCUACGGGAGGCAGCAGUGGGGAAUUUUGCACAAUGGGGGAAACCCUGAUGCAGCGACGCCGCGUGAUUUAGAAGGCCUUCGGGUUGUAAAAAUCUUUUAUAUGGGAAGAUAAUGACGGUACCAUAAGAAAAAGCCCCGGCUAACUACGUGCCAGCAGCCGCGGUAAUACGUAGGGGGCUAGCGUUGUCCGGAAUCACUGGGCGUAAAGGGUUCGCAGGCGGAAAUGCAAGUCAGGUGUAAAAGGCAGUAGCUUAACUACUGUAAGCAUUUGAAACUGCAUAUCUUGAGAAGAGUAGAGGUAAGUGGAAUUUUUAGUGUAGCGGUGAAAUGCGUAGAUAUUAAAAAGAAUACCGGUGGCGAAGGCGACUUACUGGGCUCAUUCUGACGCUGAGGAACGAAAGCGUGGGUAGCAAACAGGAUUAGAUACCCUGGUAGUCCACGCUGUAAACGAUGAGUGCUAGGUAUCGGAAUAAUUCGGUGCCGCAGUUAACACAUUAAGCACUCCGCCUGGGGAGUACGUGCGCAAGCAUG
Molecule: ribosomal RNA, 802 nt
Filed under: uncultured Clostridia bacterium
Lineage: Bacteria; Bacillati; Bacillota; Clostridia
Description: bacterial SSU rRNA
Rfam family: Bacterial small subunit ribosomal RNA
Source: RNAcentral